UACAGAGGGGGCAAGCGUUGUUCGGAAUUACUGGGCGUAAAGGGCGCGUAGGCGGCCUGUUAAGUCGAACGUGAAAUCCCCAGGCUCAACCUGGGAACUGCGUCCGAUACUGGCAGGCUUGAAUCCGGGAGAGGGAUGUGGAAUUCCAGGUGUAGCGGUGAAAUGCGUAGAUAUCUGGAGGAACACCGGUGGCGAAGGCGGCAUCCUGGACCGGUAUUGACGCUGAGGCGCGAAAGCCAGGGGAGCAAACGGG
Molecule: ribosomal RNA, 253 nt
Filed under: uncultured bacterium
Lineage: Bacteria
Description: partial 16S ribosomal RNA
Rfam family: Bacterial small subunit ribosomal RNA
Source: RNAcentral